UUAGAAUCACAUCUACAAGAUAUGCUAUAGAAAAAGGCUUUUACAUGGACAAUGAAGCCCAGAAAAAGGAACUGAGAAUCAGACAUGGGACAUUACAAGAUGACUCUUUCUAAGGGAAAUAACCCUGGGCAGUCCAGAAAGUGAUUCCUGAAACAUUCUCUCCCCUCCAAAGGCUUUUUCUGCAUUGGAAAUACUACAGGUCAAGGUACAACAACUGAUUCUAACAGGGUCAAAAAGCACAUUGUAUCUUUAAGGAAAGUCCAGAAACCAUAGAAAACCUCAACUCCAAGCAGAAGAAAAGCACAGGUUUACAACACAAGAAGAACAGAAGUGCUACCAAACAAAAAUACCGGAAUACUGAGAAAAUGGUACCAAUGUGCCCAGAAGGAAAAAGAGCAAAGCAUACAACCUAAAUACUAAGAUAGUACAACACAGUGCCAAAAAAAGCCUAAAGCAGCGCACGCAACAGAAACAACUUGGAACUUACCAAACACAAAUAUGGAUCAGUGGCAAAAAAAAAAAAAGAAGAUAAAUAUUCAAGAGACAAAGCAGGCAACAAGACGGUAGGUCCAAGUGGCAUAACCAACACGAGUAAAACUGAGAAAAGACAAAAGCGAGUAACGUGGUUCUCCUGCACCAGAAAUGCUGCUAUCGAUAAGGGUGCUACACAGCCAGCAGCAGAGCAUGAGGUAACCUCCGCGUCACUCCCUCUGGGGAGAGCAGCUCUGGAAGGAGAUGAAGGGAAGGUUUUCCUCUCCUGCGCUCCGGGUCUCCCGUCCAGCACAGGGCCCUCGGCGCAGCCAGCUGGUGCACUUGCAAGAGCAGCGUGGCUGCCCGCGGCUGUGCCAGGCCUGCGGGCCAGGCGGAGCUGGCAGCCAGCCCGCUCCCCCUCACAGGCUAAUUGCUGCUGGCAUGAGCUCCCCGAGCAGGACAGCAGCCACAGCCCUGCACAGCAACCAAGGCACAAAUGCCAUUUAGCAGGGCACUGCAGAGCUACGGUACAAGCACCGUACCCCAGCCACCUCACCACUAAGUGCCCACAGCAGAGGACGGGUGAUGUGGCCAUCUAGGGACCUCAGCCCACCAGUAGCCCUGUCCCACGGCCAUGGUCUCAAAUGGCGGUAGGAGAGAAGUUGAGAGAUGGUCAGCAUAUUCAUUAGUAGGUCAUCAGGAAUGAUCAAUGAAGAAAAAAAUAUGGCAGUACUAAACCAACCAAAAAUCCCAGCAGCUCUUUUUCCAAGUAUUUGUUACUGGAAAGAUCAUUUCCUGCAAAACAUCCUUGAAGAUCCUUGAACAGAUUCCCUAAGAAAAAACGCAAGACUGAGUCUAACAUCUAAUAAUUUUCUCACUGAGUUUUGCUACUAGUUAUAAAGCUAACAAUUUUCAAAAUUCCUCUAAAUGCAGAUAUGCACUGCUGUCAAAAUGUCAGUGCCUCUGUUUCAACACAGCUGUUAAAUGGGUCACUCAUUAAAGCCUAACAGUCUAGAAAAGCCAGGAAUCAGACUAAAGAAACCACAAAUAAUCUUCAUUAUUAAGCGAGUAUAUAUUAUCAGAGCAGUUAUCAAAGGCUUGUGCCAUUAGAGCAAGCGUAAGGUGCUGGCAGAAUAAAACCAACACCCACAGAUCAAGUAAGAACUGAAAUAUAAUUAGUUCAAGGUUUUAAUCUUCAUUAUAAAUAGCUAAUAGAAUGCUUCAUAAUUGAGAGCUUUCACUCCUGUUAAUUUUUUUAUGAGCAAUUUAGGCAUCUGCCAUUCCAGUCAGCAAAUUGUUAUGAAAGCAUACACUUCAGCAUCGUGGUGUCCUCAUUUUACAUCCUUACAUGUACAGUGCUCACCAGUGAGAGUCACUGGAAGGCUUUCAUGUAGAGAAAGGAAUAAGGCCAAGUAGAAAGGAGAAUGAAUUAAAAAACUUCAAGGGAUUGAAAUGAUCCCUUUACUUUUUGAAUUAUUACUCUUACACACAUAUUAACCAACUGACCCAUAUGCAGAAAUAUGCUAAUACUACAAGGGAGACAUCUUUUUCUCACACAUUUACUGGGCAACACGAAAAUCAGAUCACACUCUAAGCCUCUUCAGAUUCACCUUUCUCACAGUGCUGGAGCCUGAUUUCUACUGUAGGGGUGCCAGAGAAUAAGAACAUUUCUGCUUCACAUAUGCACUGAAACUCUAAGCUCCCACCACACUUCAUAUACUAUUGCUGCUUAUACAAGGAUUUCUCAUCUGAAGGUUUUUUCCUGUUUACAAUUAUGGCCUAAGGCACAACUUUAAAAAUAUUCAAAUAAAUACAUAUAUAUAUAUAAAUUAGAAUAUAAAUUUUAUAAUAUAACUGAAAAUUUAGACUAAGUACUCCCUGCAA
This is a long non-coding RNA of Falco peregrinus (peregrine falcon), 2355 nucleotides long. RefSeq lists it as uncharacterized. The transcript is spliced from 3 exons. Lineage: Eukaryota; Metazoa; Chordata; Aves; Falconiformes; Falconidae. The record is from RefSeq and is a predicted model, not a curated record.